RNAcentral lists this transfer RNA (76 nucleotides) under Streptoalloteichus tenebrarius. Its description in RNAcentral is "tRNA-Lys". It matches the Rfam family "tRNA". From Rfam's summary of the family: Transfer RNA (tRNA) molecules are approximately 80 nucleotides in length. RNAcentral also lists the same sequence under 13 other names. The record is from RNAcentral. Lineage: Bacteria; Bacillati; Actinomycetota; Actinomycetes; Pseudonocardiales; Pseudonocardiaceae.
GGGCCGCUAGCUCAACUGGCAGAGCAGCGGACUUUUAAUCCGCGGGUUCAGGGUUCGAGCCCCUGGCGGCCCACCA